AAAAACAUCGCUCUCCGGCUUAUAAAUAUAGAGAGUCGAGCCUGCCCAGUGAUUUAAUUUAACGGCCGCGGUACUCUGACCGUGCAAAGGUAGCAUAAUCAUUUGCCCUAUAAUUGAGGGCUAGUAUGAAUGGUUUGACGAAAGUGAUUCUGUCUCUAAAAAAUUUUAUAGAAUUUGGUUAUUAGGUGAAGAAACCUAAAUAAUAUUGAUAGACAAGAAGACCCUAUCGAGCUUAAAAAACAUUUGUUGAAUAAAUACAAAAAUCAUCUCAAUAAAAAAUUUUGGUUGGGGCGACUAAGGAACAAACAAAGCUUCCUUUAAAAAUAAAAACUGAUAAGUAUUGAUCCAAAAAAAAUUGAUUAAUAAAAUUAGUUACCGUAGGGAUAACAGCAUAAUCUUUUUUGAGAGUUCUUAUCGAAAAAAAGGUUUGUGACCUCGAUGUUGGACUAGGAUAUCCUGAAAGAUGCAGAAGUCUUCAAAGGUUGGUCUGUUCGACCAAUAAAAUCCUACGUGAU
This 515-nucleotide ribosomal RNA is filed under the name Fluminicola multifarius. RNAcentral describes it as "partial large subunit ribosomal RNA". It matches the Rfam family "Bacterial large subunit ribosomal RNA", at positions 1809 to 2604 of the family's 2925-position model. The record is from RNAcentral. Lineage: Eukaryota; Metazoa; Mollusca; Gastropoda; Littorinimorpha; Lithoglyphidae.